RNAcentral lists this ribosomal RNA (457 nucleotides) under uncultured eukaryote. RNAcentral describes it as "partial 18S ribosomal RNA". It matches the Rfam family "Eukaryotic small subunit ribosomal RNA", at positions 592 to 976 of the family's 1831-position model. The record is from RNAcentral.
CAGAAGCGUAUAUUAAUGUUGUUGCAGUUAAAACGCUCGUAGUUGGAUUUUGGAGGACGGGAAGGGUGCUGCCCGGCUAAAGCCGAGUACGGACCCACCGCCUCUGUAGUUGGCGGCGACGCACGCGGGGCCUUAAUUGGUUGCCGGGUGAGCUGGAGGGGUAAUACCCGAAGGCGAGGCCGCGGGCGCGGGUUAACGCUCGGUCGCACGUGGCAGCGUUCCGCCUCAUUUACUUUGAAAAAAAUAGAGUGCUCAAAGCAGGCCUCGGGGCCAUUGAAUAAUUCAGCAUGGGAUAAUAGAACACGAGAUUGGAUGUCGUUUUGUUGGUACAGCGAUUCUAAACUAAUGAUUAAAAGGGACCGUCGGGGUGGUUUGUAUUGGGGAGCUAGAGGUGAAAUUCUUGGAUUUCCUCAAGACAAACAACUGCGAAAGCAAUCUACUAGGAGGUUCUCAUUAA